This is a non-coding RNA of Arachis ipaensis, 3129 nucleotides long. The record is from RefSeq and is a predicted model, not a curated record. NCBI's taxonomy places the organism in Eukaryota, Viridiplantae, Streptophyta, Magnoliopsida, Fabales, Fabaceae.
AUGUCUAAGCAAUCAAACGGGUAAGUAGAACCGAGCAACACACCCAACAAUGUAUCCAUAACGCAGUUGAUGUAACAUUGGUACACUAUAAAAUUUGAAAGAGUAUUUUGAUGAAGAUUUUAAAAAAUCUCUACACUACAUUUUAUUUAUAGCAAUUUAAAAAACUCCAUUAAUUAAAAUUCAAAAUUUUAGAACAAAAACUCAUUUUCUCUUUUUCCCCGAAUGAGAGGCGCUAAGUUAGCGCUGAGAGAGACCAUGAAACCUAAGUUUUCUACCCCCAUUUCAGCCACCGUUCCGCCGCCAUUUCCGCCGCCGCCGCCGCCGUUAUCACUGUCGUGUCCGUUGCAGUAGAGAGCUUCUGCCACUAGGCAAAGAUGGAAACUAGGGUUUGUAGCUGUAGUUCUCAUCAUUUGAAGAUAAUUCACUAUGAAGUUCCUUAAGUGUCCUUCCUUGGAUCGGUAAUUGUAGUUUCAAACGAAUUUGAGUUGAAUUAUGGGAUUUUAUAACAUAAUUUUAGUAUACUGUAAGAGUAUCGUGAAAUUUGUCCAGGCUUAAUGAUUUCUUUGGUGAUUUGAAUUUGGAAGAACGUACUAUCAGAGGAUUCCUUGAAACUUAUACUUGUAAGGACUAAUUAGUGACUUUUAAGUUUCAACAGAAUUGAUUUUGGAUUUGGAUUUGCUCACUGGAUUUGGAUUAACUAGCAAUUCUUUGUGGAUGCAGAGAUAAAGUUCUGUUAUUUUAAUUUAUUUUUUGGGCUAGGUUCAGUUUCAACUUAAAAUCCAGUGGUUAAAAUAUAUGUUAGAUAAUGGCAUUUUGAUUCAUAUUUUGGUUAUAACUAAUGGGAAUUUUAAAUACAAGGAUUUAUCAAGCAACUCAAUAAAGGGUCUAAUACCUUCUUCUAUUGGAUAACUCACACAUUUGCAACUUUUGUAAGUUCAUUUUGCACUGCAUAAUGAUAUUGAUAACCAUAACAUUCAACAUAGUAAGCUUGAUCCUGAUUUUCUUAGGAACUUGUUGACGAAUUUCUUUUUUGGUAAAAUCCCUAACGAGGGAGUACUAGGAGCCUUUGGGAAAAACGUGUAAGUACUUCACACAGCAAAAACAAAUUCCUGUCAUAUUAUCUGCUAUUUUAAGGUGCAGCUAUGCUAUAUUGUAUCUACAAAGUAUGAAUAUUGUUUUGUUGGAAUAUUGCUUAAUGCAAAUAUUUCUUCCCGUCUGAAUCUUAAGCAUCACAUAUUUACACAUGAUUACUGACUGUAUCAAAUAAAGGAGAUAAUCUGUCCUAAUUGAUUUUAACAAUAUCUGCUAGGUCACAGCAGAAGUAGCAUCUAUAUCUAUGUUGAAAUUAUUUGUUUAUUUUUUAUCCUAUAUGAAUUCAGUUGUACACAAUAUAUUUAUAUGAAAGAAGCCGCAAAGUUUGAUUGUAAGAAAAACAUUCUAUUGCAAAAUAAGAAGAUAAUUCAAGUUAGGAAAAAAUAAUGAAAAGCAAAAUUAAAAGAUUGGAAUCCCCCUACAGGUUUCACAUAUGAUUCUAUUAGUUCCAAUUGCUUGGAAGAUAAUUCAAUAGGCGUUUUCUUCUUGCUCUUGAUUAUAAUCUUUCGCACUCAAUUUGGCUAUAUAUUUUCUUCGAGUAUAGUUGUGAUUAGAGAGGUUAAUAAGUUGUCACUCCUCUUAGCCUUCACAAUUCUACUCAAUAGUAUCCAACCUGUUUUGUCAGGUAAUCUACAAUCUUUAAAUUUUAUCACAUAUAUUAACUAAAACAUAUAUAGAAUUUAUACAAAGAGAUAGGUUGACCUUACAAGUCACUAGUGUGUGUAUAGACCAACUUGAUAAUUGAUAUACAUAACAAUAGUAACACAUACACAUAUUUUCCUAAACUAAAUUAUAUAUGCAUGGUUCAAUAGGGGUUGCCAUAGGAUCAGGAUGGCAAAAAUAUGUGGCAUACAAAAACUUGAGUUGCUACUAUCUAUUUGGGAUAUAUACGGCUUGGGUUUUUGUUGGGUUUCGUCUUUGAUCUUGGAGUUGAGGUACGUUUUAUAUAUUCUAACUUAUUCUUUUCUACAGCAUUAUUACAAUUUCAGAUGGAAUCAAAUCAUAAACAAAAAUUAGUCUAGUGAUAUUAGUGUUUCCAUUGAGGGCGUUACUUUCCAUCUUCAUAAGGUAUACUAUGAAUGGCUUCUUUUAAUAAUUAUUAUUUCUUCUACUACUUUGUGCUUUGAGCUCCAGUAUGAGGUGUUCAAUCUGCUACUUUUAUGCAAUUAAUUGCUUAGAUGAUAUUGGUUUAGAGUUUUAUUUUGAUAAAUGAGAGUUAGCACUCCUCUGUAAUUAAAAGUAUAAUAAAAUUCAUUGAUAGAGGUGUUCAAUCUGCUACUUUUAUUUGUUAAUGUACUUUUCACUAUGUUAAUGGUUUGUAUUCAAUGCAAAAAAUCUCCAUUAUUAAUAGAUGAUUCAAGCAUGGCACAUGCUGAAGUAACCAAAUGGGAUCCAAUAUCUUGCAGUCUUCCACUUGAUGAUAAGUUGGAAUUGUGGCAUCUAUGCCACAUGGAGACAUGGACUGAAGAUUGUAACCUAGAUGAAUGGGACGAUGUAAGUUUAUCGAUCUUUUUUGUUCUAAUUUGUUAUCUGCGUUUCAUGUUACUUAUGGGUUCAAGGAAAUGAAUGUUCAUUUCAUCUUCUUUUAAACUUGAUCUAUGAUCUAUUAUCCUUCAAUUAACUACUAUGUUGACAGAUCAGACCCCCAUAAAAAGGUUCACAGGACCACGGUUUCACUAAGAGCCAAUAUAACAAUGCAAGUUUCUAAAUGACUAUCAUCAUGGUUUGAAAAAGUUGCACUAAUAAUAACCAUCUAAUUCAUAUGAAAAUAAACACCCGUACUAAUGCAUCAACCUACAUUGCUUACUUUGUUAGAUUGUUCACCCUCUACGUUGGGCUGUCGGGGAACUGCACGGUGUGCGGGUUUGUGGGCUUUGCAAAGGACAACUUAUACGCGAACGGGUGCCUGCUUGGAUGUGGCGUAGAGUAAUGCAAUUCACCAAUGCAGAACCUGCAAUUAGAGAUGAUGAAACGUGUAACUGAACAAUGUGUAAACUCUGAUUUUUUUAACCAGCAAUUCGUUGGGUUUCUCUUUCU